This 807-nucleotide ribosomal RNA is filed under the name Candidatus Methylopumilus planktonicus. Its description in RNAcentral is "bacterial SSU rRNA". It matches the Rfam family "Bacterial small subunit ribosomal RNA", at positions 591 to 1396 of the family's 1533-position model. The record is from RNAcentral. Lineage: Bacteria; Pseudomonadati; Pseudomonadota; Betaproteobacteria; Nitrosomonadales; Methylophilaceae.
GAUGUGAAAUCCCCGGGCUCAACCUGGGAACUGCGUUCGAAACUGCAAGGCUAGAGUGUGUCAGAGGGGGGUAGAAUUCCACGUGUAGCAGUGAAAUGCGUAGAGAUGUGGAGGAAUACCAAUGGCGAAGGCAGCCCCCUGGGAUAACACUGACGCUCAUGCACGAAAGCGUGGGGAGCAAACAGGAUUAAUACCCUGGUAGUCCACGCCCUAAACGAUGUCAACUAGUUGUUGGUAGAGUAAAAUCUAUGAGUAACGUAGCUAACGCGUGAAGUUGACCGCCUGGGGAGUACGGUCGCAAGAUUAAAACUCAAAGGAAUUGACGGGGGCCCGCNCAAGCGGUGGAUUAUGUGGAUUAAUUCGAUGCAACGCGAAAAACCUUACCUGGCCUUGACAUGUACCGAAUUGAGCAGAGAUGUUCAAGUGCUUGAAAGAGAACGGUAACACAGGUGCUGCAUGGCUGUCGUCAGCUCGUGUCGUGAGAUGUUGGGUUAAGUCCCGCAACGAGCGCAACCCUUGCCAUUAAUUGCCAUCAUUUAGUUGGGCACUUUAAUGGGACUGCCGGUGACAAACCGGAGGAAGGUGGGGAUGACGUCAAGUCCUCAUGGCCCUUAUGGCCAGGGCUUCACACGUAAUACAAUGGUCGGUACAGAGGGUUGCCAACCCGCGAGGGGGAGCCAAUCCCAGAAAGCCGAUCGUAGUCCGGAUUGUAGUCUGCAACUCGACUGCAUGAAGUCGGAAUCGCUAGUAAUCGCGGAUCAGCAUGUCGCGGUGAAUACGUUCCCGGGCCUUGUACACACCCGCCCC